Molecule: long non-coding RNA, 1236 nt
Filed under: Homo sapiens (human)
Lineage: Eukaryota; Metazoa; Chordata; Mammalia; Primates; Hominidae
Description: HSALNT0032043
Source: RNAcentral
GGUACCUUACCCAGGAGUGGAAAGACAGUAACCUAACUGCUCCCUACCAAUUUAGUUAGGGAUUCGUUCUAACUAUUAUUUGAAGUGCCUAGAAAUUAAUGUAACAUUUCCUGUGCUAAUUUGCAUUGCCUGCGGGCUGGAAGCGCCCCCUGUGAGGGCCACAGAGUUAGGUAGGGAGCUGUAUCCAGGGCAACUCCAUACAAACUUAACGCAGGAGCAGCCCUUGUAGAGUGGUGCUGACAUUGGGAUUAGGAUCUGUUCUAUGAGACCGUGACCAGCUGAUAAAUUGAAGUGGUAAUUUGGGAUUUAACCAAACAGAGCAGUAAAUGUAUCAGAAUGAUGAAAAUCCAAGACGAGAAAAGACUGGAGGAACCAUACAAGUUGAAGUAAGAAAAAGAAAAGAAUAAUUGUUUCAACAUUCAAAUUUCUUCAUGGCUUGUACAAUGCAAAAUUUUUCCAAGUUUAGGAAGUAUAUGAGAACUAGAGAUUAGAAAAUGGAUGUGAAGUCCCCAAACAUCUCUGCAUCAACUAACUCCAAAACCCAGCACAGGAAGAAGGUGAGAAGACCCUGAGUCUGGAGAGAUUGGACUACAAAGCAAAAUGAACUGUUAUACAGACUUAGGUGGAAAGUAUACUCUCCUACCAAAAAAACCAGUUGUUUUCCUAUUUCUUUCUGCACUUAAUCCUAUCUUCAAUGUGCCCUUUUAAUUGACUUUAACACAAAUAUUAUGAAUAUGAAUUACAAGACAAUAUUAAAGGUAAAAGAAAACUUAAAAUGACAAGCUAAACUGUUUCACCGAAAUGUAUUUGCAUGUGUCCAAACCUUACUCAUAUAUCAACAUCUAAUUUAGAUAAACCUCCAUUGAGGCCUUCCCAGUCCUUUCUUCUUAGAAUAAGUCUCUUUCUCCGAGCUUCAGAUGCAUCAGUGAAAAGAGGAAAAGACCCCUGCCUUAUGGAGCUGAGAUUCUAACAAGGAGAAACAACAAUAAAUAGAAUACACAAAAAAAAUCACGUAGCAUUUAAAAGGUGAUAGAUUCUUUGGAACAUGAAAUGUAGAGCAGAGUAACGGGAUGGGAGUGUAGGGGGUUGCAACCUGUAAUGCAGUGGUUAAGAUAGGGUUUACUUAGAGGUGACAUCUGAGCAAAGACUUGAAGGAGGUGAGGGCAUUAGUAACAUAGAUCUGUGGCGAAGACCUAGAACAAAGAACUAGAAACGCGCCUGGUGCUGUUGAGGGAC